UACGUAGGGGGCGAGCGUUGUCCGGAUUUAUUGGGCGUAAAGAGCUCGUAGGCGGUCUGUUGCGUCUGCUGUGAAAACUCGGGGCUUAACCCCGAGCCUGCAGUGGGUACGGGCAGACUAGAGUGUGGUAGGGGAGACUGGAAUUCCUGGUGUAGCGGUGAAAUGCGCAGAUAUCAGGAGGAACACCGGUGGCGAAGGCGGAUCUCUGGGCCGUAACUGACGCUGAGGAGCGAAAGCGUGGGGAGCGAACAGG
Molecule: ribosomal RNA, 253 nt
Filed under: uncultured bacterium
Lineage: Bacteria
Description: partial 16S ribosomal RNA
Rfam family: Bacterial small subunit ribosomal RNA
Source: RNAcentral